ACCUCAAAUCAGGUAGGAGUACCCGCUGAACUUAAGCAUAUCAAUAAGCGGAGGAAAAGAAACCAACCGGGAUUGCCUCAGUAACGGCGAGUGAAGCGGCAAAAGCUCAAAUUUGAAAUCUGGCACUUUCAGUGUCCGAGUUGUAAUUUGUAGAAGUAGUUUUGGGGCUGGUCCUUGUUUAUGUUCCUUGGAACAGGACGUCAUAGAGGGUGAGAAUCCCGUGUGGCGAGGAUCCCAGUCCUUUGUAAAACGCUUUCGAAGAGUCGAGUUGUUUGGGAAUGCAGCUCUAAGUGGGUGGUAAAUUCCAUCUAAAGCUAAAUAUUGGCGAGAGACCGAUAGCGAACAAGUACAGUGAUGGAAAGAUGAAAAGAACUUUGAAAAGAGAGUGAAAAAGUACGUGAAAUUGUUGAAAGGGAAGGGCAUUUGAUCAGACAUGGUGUUUGGACGCCCUGCGCUCCUUGUGGGUGCAGGACACGCUUUUCACUGGGCCAACAUCAGUUUUGGCAGCAGGAUAAAUCGCCAGGAACGUAGCUGCCCUCGGGUAGUGUUACAGCCUGGUGGAAUACUGCUAGCCGGGACUGAGGACUGCGUCUUUUGACAAAGGAUGUUGGCAUAAUGGUUAAAUGCCGCCCGUCUUGAAACAUGGACCAAGGAGUCUAACGUCUAUGCGAGUGUUUGGGUGU
RNAcentral lists this ribosomal RNA (683 nucleotides) under Hanseniaspora osmophila. Its description in RNAcentral is "LSU rRNA". It matches the Rfam family "Eukaryotic large subunit ribosomal RNA", at positions 1 to 701 of the family's 3401-position model. The record is from RNAcentral. Lineage: Eukaryota; Fungi; Ascomycota; Saccharomycetes; Saccharomycodales; Saccharomycodaceae.